AGUAACGCAUCGGAACGUGCCCGGUCGUGGGGGAUAACACUUCGAAAGAAGUGCUAAUACCGCAUACGAUCUGAGGAUGAAAGCGGGGGACCGUAAGGCCUCGCGCGAUCGGAGCGGCCGAUGUCAGAUUAGGUAGUUGGUGGGGUAAAGGCCUACCAAGCCGACGAUCUGUAGCUGGUCUGAGAGGACGACCAGCCACACUGGGACUGAGACACGGCCCAGACUCCUACGGGAGGCAGCAGUGGGGAAUUUUGGACAAUGGGCGCAAGCCUGAUCCAGCAAUGCCGCGUGCAGGAUGAAGGCCUUCGGGUUGUAAACUGCUUUUGUACGGAGCGAAAAGGCUCUCUCUAAUACAGGGGGCUGAUGACGGUACCGUAAGAAUAAGCACCGGCUA
This 394-nucleotide ribosomal RNA is filed under the name uncultured bacterium. Its description in RNAcentral is "bacterial SSU rRNA". It matches the Rfam family "Bacterial small subunit ribosomal RNA", at positions 109 to 499 of the family's 1533-position model. The record is from RNAcentral.